UACGAGGGGGGCAAGCGUUGUUCGGAUUUAUUGGGCGUAAAGCGCGUGUAGGCGGCUCGAUAAGUCUGCUGUGAAAGUUCAGGGCUCAACCCUGAAAUGCCGGUGGAAACUGUCGGGCUAGAGUCCGGAAGAGGCGAGUGGAAUUCCUGGUGUAGCGGUGAAAUGCGCAGAUAUCAGGAGGAACACCAAUGGCGAAGGCAGCUCGCUGGGACGGUACUGACGCUGAGACGCGAAAGCGUGGGGAGCAAACAGG
This 253-nucleotide ribosomal RNA is filed under the name uncultured bacterium. RNAcentral describes it as "partial 16S ribosomal RNA". It matches the Rfam family "Bacterial small subunit ribosomal RNA", at positions 524 to 776 of the family's 1533-position model. The record is from RNAcentral.